Molecule: long non-coding RNA, 1847 nt
Filed under: Acanthaster planci (crown-of-thorns starfish)
Lineage: Eukaryota; Metazoa; Echinodermata; Asteroidea; Valvatida; Acanthasteridae
Description: uncharacterized LOC110983744
Source: RNAcentral
ACGUACAACCAUAUGGUUCAACGAAGGACUGCUGAGGAAAAAUGACAGCAUUUUGGCGGUUCAAAUGGUAUUUUUGUAACGGUCGCAACACUGGAUUAAGUUUAACUUGUGGGGGCGUUUUGUUCCUUUCAUGUCUUUCGGACCAUGGGGCUAAGUUGGAGUUCGUAGAAUACCAGGAAAAUCCUUCUUUUCUUGUUAUUCAGCCAGCAUGAAUAAAGAAGCUUGGAUACAUCAGGAAUGAAAUAUUUUGCUUGUCAGGAUGCACUUCAAAUCCAGGUUGUUGGGAAAAGUUGAGUUUUGAAAUUAUUCGUCUAACCAAAAGGCUCAAACGCCGGAAUAGCAAGCGUUAUAUAUACUAACAUUGACUGAGUAGCAGGCUCAUCGGUACUUAGUCAUUGUAUUGGUUGUGUUGUUCUGAAACGGGAGUCAUUUGAUGACUGGGUGACUACAGGAUAGCAGCAGAGCAGACAAUGGCAGUCCCUACAGAGAGAACACCAAUGACAGAAAACGGCAGAAGAGGGAAACCAUACAUGUAACCUCCACGGCAAACUGGUGCAGGAUUACAUGUAUGCAAUGUAUCAAGACGACAUUUAAUGGCAGUUUCAAUACUACACUCAGUCUCCAGCUUCACUCAAUUUUUAAUCCCCUGACUUUGAAGAUUUUAGCUUGAUAGCAAGUCAUGUAUUGCCACUUGCUAUGGACAGAUAGAUUGAAGUAUUCACAUUUUUUAUUCCGAUAUGAUAGACCAAGUAGUUUGUUCAAAAUUUCUUUUUAAAGCUUGUUUCAUGUCAUGCCCAAAAAUGUAAACCUUGUGUACUCUGCACAAAGACAAGAAGACUGAUAAAGAAUUUACUAUUACAGAACAUUUAAUUUGCAAGUAACAAUCCGCAAGUUGGAAUGUCUUAUCUAAAAAUAACAGAUAUAUUACAAGUCUUCUUUAUAUGACCUGACCUUGGAUUAUUUUGUUGUAACUGAGACAGAUCUUUGUGUUAACUCAGUUCUGAAAUGCAUUAAUGAAAAUGUGGAACUUCUUGAGUAUAACCUGGAGACAAAAAGACCACCUUAAUAACUACAAAUCAGCUCUGUUAAUGUACUCCAUUUAUUAAUAAAAGCAUGUCAGCUGUUUUCUCCACUCUUCCCUUUGGUUAGCUUGAACUUGAGAUGUGUGGAGUGUUACUUUAAAUGCCAAAUGACCAACCAGGAAUAAUUGAGAUUCUUUAAAGUAAAGAAGACAUUUAGGACAUUGUGACAGUCAUUAACACCCAACAUGUGUAGGGAAAACAACUGAUAAAUAUGCAAUAGUUAUAAUCUUAUUCAAAGCAAGAUAUCUGGAGUAACUUCAUCCUAAUUACAUGCUGCAAAAAUUCAUUUUGGGGCCUACAAUAUUAAGAAGGUAACUCAUAUAAAUAUUCACAGUGGUAUCAUGUCCAUUUGUGGAUUAAAACUUAGAAGCCUCUCAUUCACUCGGUAUAUUCGGCUAGAAACCAUUCUGAAUUCUCCAACAAUCUCAUCUGCAAAAAUCCAUAUUUGUUCUUCAUAGAUCAGAAUUUCAAGCGGCAUGAAGUCCCCAUGCAGAGUGAUAGUGUCUAACCUCUCUUGGAAUCCUGCAGUCAGUCCUUAAUUUGAUUGAUUUUGAUAGAAAUGGGAGGGUUGUUAAAUUGAUGGCAGGCAAGUUUUUCUUACGACAGCAAAAAAAUUGCCAAAACAAUUUGUAUAUGUGGGAUGGAGUUCCAUUAUCAUCAUCAACUGCCAAUGUACUGUCUGCCCGAUAUUUUCCGCGUGGAAUCAAAAUGCCUCUUGACAUUUUCUUAAUAACCUUAAAAACACAAGAGGGAUGCUGGUCUCUA